UACGAAGGGGGCUAGCGUUGUUCGGAAUUACUGGGCGUAAAGCGCGUGUAGGCGGGGCUUUAAGUCAGGGGUGAAAUGCCAAGGCUCAACCUUGGAACUGCCUUUGAUACUGGAGACCUUGAGUCCGGGAGAGGUGAGUGGAAUUGCGAGUGUAGAGGUGAAAUUCGUAGAUAUUCGGAAGAACACCAGUGGCGAAGGCGGCUCACUGGCCCGUUACCGACGCUCAGGCGCGACAGCGUGGGGAGCAAACAGG
This 253-nucleotide ribosomal RNA is filed under the name uncultured bacterium. Its description in RNAcentral is "partial 16S ribosomal RNA". It matches the Rfam family "Bacterial small subunit ribosomal RNA", at positions 524 to 776 of the family's 1533-position model. The record is from RNAcentral.